AGUAAACAAAUAGAAACCUUGUAUCUACAAAGGCUUCACUUUCAUAACGCCUACUCAGUUCACACAACUGUUGUGUUUGUGGGUGAACUAUGACAACGAAAGACUGGCAAAUACAACACAUGAACGUAUUACCCAAACUAAGUCACAACAAGUGUAAGCAUUUGCAGUACUCAUUAGAUUUGCUUGCAUGCACAAGUGUAUGGAGAAUAGUCAUGGCUAGAUCUAGUAUCUGCUUGGUAUUACUCACUAUUGUCCUAGUUAGACAAAUACUCGCCGACGAGAAAAUGUGUAAUAAUGGAACUGUAAAGCUAUUUGUGGCAGGAGCUUUACUUCUGAAUGAAAAGUAUGUCCAGUACUGCCACAAUGGAGAAUGGCAUUGGCUGUGUGCUGGUGGUGGAAGCUGGACAAGAGUGGAGGCCAAUGUUGUGUGCAGACAACUGGGACUCAGCGGCCAAGGAGCCAAUAAAGGGAUUGAUACUACACACUGUACCCCAGCGACCACCCACACACACCUCCACUCGUCCCUCUCUAGUCGUGGAUCCACCCACCAGUCUUGUGGUUCCGUUAGUGCAAUCUUGUCAGUGCAUGAAUGAAUUACAUACAAGCAGUUUGGACAAUCUGGGGCAGGAGUCUCGACUGGUUCUGCUACAUUCUAACAGGCUUCUUUCAACUCCAUUACAUACAGGAUGACUGAAAUGAGGUGAUGUUGGUGGAGAUGAACAGACUGCACCUCUUGUAGCUCCUGUAUACAUCACAUCAAAAUGUAUGCGACAUGCUUAGUAAAUAGCUUAUACCUCUUUCAGAAUAACCUAUAGUUGUCGACAAAUUACGUGCGGGACAGCAAUGGAUGAUUUUGCUGUUAACCAAUUAACGGCACACAAUGUUUUCCACUCUCCAUUGUCACAAAACUGCACUACCCCUUUUACUGAGUCAUCCAUUUCAAGUGGUUGGUCUCUGAAUCGAACAUCACCAUCGAAACAACCUGUAUAAAAAUACAGCUUUCCUCAUACAUUAUAGAGCGAUGCAUGUGAUAGUAUAAUUAUAUGUAAUGUUAUUACCACAUGUAAAUCCAGCUAUGUGGUUGGUAGAUGAUGAUGAAGUGACAGGACCUCCAUUAAAAGCACUCAGUUAGGUUCUGCUCAUUCGCAUUGCAGGCUGGCAACGUUACACAACUUGUAGAGUUUACUGAUACCUCCAUGACUUGAGCUCCUGUAUUCACAGUUUCAACUAUACCUGUCUAGAACAAUUAUUGUAUACGUAUACCUUGAAAAUCCAUACCAUUCUGCUUACAAGCCAGUUUUGCAUGAGUGAUAGUCCAGCCAGAAUAACAUACGCUGGUCCAUUUGAACCCCGAUGAUGAAGACUGACAAAUACUGACUGAGCUAUCAGGAUUCAACUCGAGCUCACCAGCGACAGUGCAAGUAUCUAUAAUUAUUAAGAUACACGUGAAAUACAAACAAAUUCCAUUCACCUUGUCCAGUCCCUUGUGUUAUGAAUGCAGCCACUAACACAAAGAUUAGCAUACUAGCCAUUGUAGAACAUGCAUCUAACUUGCAACUAAAUAGCUAAAUAUUGCUCAACCACAAAUAUCCCCCCCCCCCGCAAAUCAACAGAGACUGAUUAAUUAACAUAAUUAAUGUGUUAGCAACUUAUAGUUUACAUAGCCACUUAUUAUAUCAACAAUGACCUAACAGUGAAACCUGAUAACAGGAAUUUCCGUAUAGCUAUACAAAUACAAUUAAAAUUGCUGGUGAUGGUGUGAUGGUAGCACUCGGUCUAAUGGUUUCUUCACACAAAUCUAAGUCUUGUUCACUUAUUUGCUACAUCCUGGCAUACUUCAAAAAGAGUAACGCUAUAAAUCCAUAUAUGUAAACAUGUUGCAAAGAAUUCCAACAAUACAUGCAUAAUAUAACUUUCUUGAUUCUACUAGUUGACCAUAAAAAAUAGUAUUUUCAGAAGACGAUCGAGUGAUACAGUUUCAUUCUGUGUUGCUAUUGACUACUGAUUGGUAGACUUGUUAUGUUUAUUGCAAGUUCUAUAGCCAUAAUUAUGUUAUAAUGAAAACAGUCCUUGAAUUGUAUCGUGUUGGACUGACAGUUAUUUUUGAGCAUGUUACAGUUUCAGUACAUGUAUUCAUUUGAGGAUAUAAAUGUGCGCAGCCUUAUAAUUAUUAUUGAGCAGUGUCGAGUCACAGUGGAUAUUUGUACAUUCACAGGCUCGACUAACCAUCAUGCCAGCACUAUUACAGCGGCAUUGGGAGCAGUUAUUGGUGUUCUAGUGGUCCUUCAAAUAAUCACUCUGAUUGGUUGUGGUGUUGUUGCUAGGAGGAGAAACACUAAUGGCAGCUAAUGUGUAAAUCAGUUAUUGCCCACCUUUUAGUUUAUUGCUAUAAUAAUGCAUGCAGUUCCACAGGCAGAGGAACAAAUCGUACGUUCUUCGAGGCGUGAUAGAACAUUGCCUAGUAUAUACUGUCCAGCUCAAAUGGAGAAUAAAAAACCUUGUGUCUACAAGGCAUUCACUUUCAUUCAAUACCUACUCAGUUUAGAGAACUGUUGUGUUUGUGGGUGACUAUGACAACAAAAGACGGACAAAUGCAAUACAUGAAAGUAAUUAUUACUACUAAAUUAACAACUUGCAGCAUUAUAUAGCUUGUGCACAGUACAUGUAGACUAUACUUAAAAAUUACUGCUUACAUGCACAAGAGUAUAAUUAUAGCUUGAAUUAGUCAUGCGAAUAUUAUCUCAGCACUACUAGGUCUAGUCGCUAUUGCUUUAGUUGGACAACUCUCUGCAAUAGCACAAAGUGAGUACAUUCACUAUAUAUAAUAUAGAGACUGAUAUACAGAAACAUGGCAUGCAGGCUGUAAUAGUGAACAUGUUCAACUGUCACUUAACACAACGGACAAUAGAAGCUACGUUCAGUACUGCAUUGAUAGUACUUGGAGGACUCUGUGUACUAGAUCGUGGUCGCGUGUUGAAGCGAAUGUUGUAUGCAGACAGCUAGGCUACAGUGACCAAGGAGCCAUAAAAGAGGUGACUGACUUUGGGGAUAUUCAUAUGGGAAAGUUCUUCAUGUUCAAUCAAUCUUGUGCUGGUGGGGAGAAUACAUUAGCAGAGUGUAAGCCAACAACAACAUUGGAACACUGUCGCCGUUUUUAUAUGCGUGAAAACAACAGACAAGGAUACAUUCCAGCUAACUGUACUGAUGAAUCCCUAAGACUGGUGGGUGGAUCCAACAUAAAACAAGGACGAGUGGAGGUGUGUCAGAACAAGCGAUGGGGUACAAUGUGCUACAACCAAGCACUAGCUGGACAUGUUUGCUCUCAGCUAGGAUUUCCAAGCCAAGGAGCAGCAGCGAUGGAAAUGAAUACAACUGGCCCACAAAUUAACUGUAACAUCGACACCAACAAUAGGUUGAGCUGUAGGAACAUCACUGACAGUGGGUUAUGUCCUCGAGGUUUAGCCGUUGAGUGUCCAUCGUUCAGUGAUACAAUAGCUACCAGUGCACUAGGAGCAGUGAUUGCAUUUCUUGUAUUACUGGAAGUAGGGACAGUUAUUGCGUGGGUGGCUUGUACUGUCACAAGGAAAAGGAACUCAAGUCCAACAAAACCAAGAAUUCUAUUACAAGGGAAUGAGAGCUGCACUGACACAACUAUAUAGAACCGAGCUACAGUUCACUAGGUCCUAACUACAAUACUGUGACUACAAGCGAUGAAGGAAUUGGAGAAUAUGAUGUCAUUGAUCACAAAAAACAGAAACUGAAACCAGCCAACCCACCACCAGUGAAGAUUGAGGCCAGUAAAAGUGAUGAUGAGUUCUUCAAUACAGAGGUUCAUAUGUACACAUGCAGCCGUCAAUAAGGAGAAAAGGAAUAAUGUUGGAGGAGAAUGAACCUUGCAACUACAGUUAUAUACAUAGCUAUAGUGUGUAGAGACACACUUGCAGUCUGUCAUCAUACAAAGUACUUACAUGAUUAAUGCAUAAACCUUUGUGUAUGCAUCAUAACACUGAUUGUACAACAGUAAUCACAAUUCACAGUUGAAUCAUGAGGUAAAAACAAUCAAAGAAUGAAUACUGGGUCUUCUUGAAA
This is a long non-coding RNA of Halichondria panicea, 4089 nucleotides long. RefSeq lists it as uncharacterized. The record is from RefSeq and is a predicted model, not a curated record. The transcript has 8 exons. Lineage: Eukaryota; Metazoa; Porifera; Demospongiae; Suberitida; Halichondriidae.